RNAcentral lists this ribosomal RNA (1113 nucleotides) under uncultured Gammaproteobacteria bacterium. Its description in RNAcentral is "bacterial SSU rRNA". It matches the Rfam family "Bacterial small subunit ribosomal RNA", at positions 202 to 1308 of the family's 1533-position model. Lineage: Bacteria; Pseudomonadati; Pseudomonadota; Gammaproteobacteria. The record is from RNAcentral.
UCGGGCCUUGCGCGAUUGGAUGAGCCGAUGUCGGAUUAGCUAGUUGGCGGGGUAAAGGCCCACCAAGGCGACGAUCCGUAGCUGGUCUGAGAGGAUGACCAGCCACACUGGAACUGAGACACGGUCCAGACUCCUACGGGAGGCAGCAGUGGGGAAUAUUGGACAAUGGGCGCAAGCCUGAUCCAGCCAUGCCGCGUGGGUGAAGAAGGCCUUCGGGUUGUAAAGCCCUUUUGUUGGGAAAGAAAAGCAGCCGGCCAAUACCCGGUUGUUCUGACGGUACCCAAAGAAUAAGCACCGGCUAACUUCGUGCCAGCAGCCGCGGUAAUACGAAGGGUGCAAGCGUUACUCGGAAUUACUGGGCGUAAAGCGUGCGUAGGUGGUGGUUUAAGUCCGUUGUGAAAGCCCUGGGCUCAACCUGGGAACUGCAGUGGAUACUGGAUCACUAGAGUGUGGCAGAGGGUAGUGGAAUUCCCGGUGUAGCAGUGAAAUGCGUAGAGAUCGGGAGGAACAUCAGUGGCGAAGGCGACUGCCUGGGCCAACACUGACACUGAGGCACGAAAGCGUGGGGAGCAAACAGGAUUACAUACCCUGGUAGUCCACGCCCUAAACGAUGCGAACUGGAUGUUGGGGUGCACUUUGGCACGCAGUAUCGAAGCUAACGCGUUAAGUUCGCCGCCUGGGGAGUACGGUCGCAAGACUGAAACUCAAAGGAAUUGACGGGGGCCCGCACAAGCGGUGGAGUAUGUGGUUUAAUUCGAUGCAACGCGAAGAACCUUACCUGGUCUUGACAUCCACGGAACUUUCCAGAGAUGGAUUGGUGCCUUCGGGAACCGUGAGACAGGUGCUGCAUGGCUGUCGUCAGCUCGUGUCGUGAGAUGUUGGGUUAAGUCCCGCAACGAGCGCAACCCUUGUCCUUAGUUGCCAGCACGUAAUGGUGGGAACUCUAAGGAGACCGCCGGUGACAAACCGGAGGAAGGUGGGGAUGACGUCAAGCCAUCAUGGCCCUUACGACCAGGGCUGCACACGUACUACAAUGGGAAGGACAGAGGGCUGCAAUCCCGCGAGGGUGAGCCAAUCCCAAGAAACCUUCUCUCAGUCCGGAUUGGAGUCUGC